Molecule: small RNA, 110 nt
Filed under: Sinorhizobium meliloti 2011
Lineage: Bacteria; Pseudomonadati; Pseudomonadota; Alphaproteobacteria; Hyphomicrobiales; Rhizobiaceae
Description: putative ncRNA
Source: RNAcentral
GUCGUUGCCCCAACCACGCGCGUCACGGGUGAUCCGUUUCCGCAUGUUGGGACAUGGAACCAUGCCGCAAUGGAACGCAGCCUGAAUCGGACAUUCAGGCUGCGUUCACA